RNAcentral lists this ribosomal RNA (367 nucleotides) under uncultured organism. RNAcentral's name for it is "bacterial LSU rRNA". It matches the Rfam family "Bacterial large subunit ribosomal RNA", at positions 2099 to 2465 of the family's 2925-position model. The record is from RNAcentral.
CUUUACUGUAGCCUGGUAUUGGGUUCGGGCUUUGACUGCGCAGGAUAGGUGGGAGACUAUGAAGCAAUCCUUGUGGGGGUUGCUGAGUCAACGGUGAGAUACCACUCUGUCAGAGCUAGAAUUCUAACUAAAUGCCGUUAUCCGGCUUUGGAACCGUAUCAGGUGGGCAGUUUGACUGGGGCGGUCACCUCCUAAAAGGUAACGGAGGCGCGCAAUGGUGCUCUCAGGCUGGUUGGAAAUCAGCCGUAGAGUGUAAAGGCAUAAGAGCGCUUGACUGCAAGAGCUACAACUCGAGCAGGGUGGAAACACGGCCUUAGUGAUCCGACGGCGCUGAGUGGAAGGGCCGUCGCUCAACGGAUAAAAGUUA